RNAcentral lists this ribosomal RNA (465 nucleotides) under uncultured bacterium. RNAcentral's name for it is "partial 16S ribosomal RNA". It matches the Rfam family "Bacterial small subunit ribosomal RNA", at positions 338 to 795 of the family's 1533-position model. The record is from RNAcentral.
CCUACGGGAGGCAGCAGUGGGGAAUAUUGCGCAAUGGGCGGAAGCCUGACGCAGCGACGCCGCGUGAGGGAUGAAGGUCUUCGGAUCGGAAACCUCUGUCAGCAGGGAAGCACGGUCACUGUGCUAAUCAGCAGUGAAUUGACGGUACCUGCAAAGGAAGCACCGGCUACCUCCGUGCCAGCAGCCGAGGUAAUACGGAGGGUGCGAGCGUUAGUCGGAAUUGGUGGGCGUAAAGCGCUCGUAGGCGGUAUGUCAAGUCAAGGGUGAAAUCUCCGCGCUCAACGUGGGAACUGCCGUUGAAACUGGCAAACUGGAGUGUGUGAGAGGAUAGCGGAAUGCCAGGUGUAGGAGUGAAAUCCGUAGAUAUCUGGAGGAACAUCAGUGGCGAAGGCGACUAUCUGGCACAUAACUGACGCUGAGGAGCGAAAGCGUGGGUAGCAAACAGGAUUAGAUACCCUGGUAGUC